This 495-nucleotide ribosomal RNA is filed under the name uncultured bacterium. RNAcentral's name for it is "partial 16S ribosomal RNA". It matches the Rfam family "Bacterial small subunit ribosomal RNA", at positions 28 to 507 of the family's 1533-position model. The record is from RNAcentral.
GACGAACGCUGGCGGCGUGCCUAAUACAUGCAAGUAGAACGCUGAAGGAGGAGCUUGCUUCUCUGGAUGAGUUGCGAACGGGUGAGUAACGCGUAGGUAACCUGCCUGGUAGCGGGGGAUAACUAUUGGAAACGAUAGCUAAUACCGCAUAAGAGUAGAUGUUGCAUGACAUUUGCUUAAAAGGUGCAAUUGCAUCACUACCAGAUGGACCUGCGUUGUAUUAGCUAGUUGGUGGGGUAACGGCUCACCAAGGCGACGAUACAUAGCCGACCUGGGAGGGGGAUCGGCCCAACUGGGAAUGAGACACGGCCCAGAACCCUACGGGAGGCAGCAGUAGGGAAUCUUCGGGAAAGGGCGGAAUGCUGACCGGGCAACGCCGGGGGAGGGAAGAAGGGUUUCGGAUCGGAAAGCUCGUUUGUAAAGGAAGAACGAGUUGGAGAGUGAAAAGUUCACGCUGUGACGGUACCUUACCAGAAAGGGACGGCUAACUACGUG